RNAcentral lists this ribosomal RNA (417 nucleotides) under Stegastes variabilis (cocoa damselfish). RNAcentral describes it as "partial 12S large subunit ribosomal RNA". It matches the Rfam family "Bacterial small subunit ribosomal RNA", at positions 773 to 1390 of the family's 1533-position model. Lineage: Eukaryota; Metazoa; Chordata; Actinopteri; Pomacentridae. The record is from RNAcentral.
UGGGAUUAGAUACCCCACUAUGCUCAUCCUUAAACUUUGAUAGGCCACUACAACCCCUAUCCGCCCGGGUAUUACGAGCUCUAGCUUAAAACCCAAAGGACUUGGCGGUGCUUUAGAUCCAUCUAGAGGAGCCUGUCCUAUAACCGAUAUUCCCCGUUAAACCUCACCCUCUCUUGCUCUUCCCGCCUAUAUACCGCCGUCGUCAGCCGACCCUGUGAAGGACGAAUAGUUUGCAAAAUUGGUAAAGCCCAAAACGCCAGGUCGAGGUGUAGCGAAUGAGAGGGGAAGAGAUGGGCUACAUUUCCUGGACUCAAGGAAAUACGGAUGCUAUACUGAAAUACUAUUUUUGAAGGAGGAUUUAGCAGUAAGUAGAAAUCAGAGUGUUCUACUGAAUCUGGCUCUGAAGCGCGCACACAC